CACGUAGGGGGCGAGCGUUGUCCGGAUUUAUUGGGCGUAAAGAGCUCGUAGGCGGUUUCGUUAGUCGGGUGUGAAAACUCUAGGCUCAACCUGGAGACGCCACCCGAUACUGCGAUGACUAGAGUCCGGUAGGGGAGUGUGGAAUUCCUGGUGUAGCGGUGAAAUGCGCAGAUAUCAGGAGGAACACCGGUGGCGAAGGCGGGUCUCUGGGCCGAUAUUGACGCUGAGGAGCGAAAGCGUGGGGAGCGAACAGG
Molecule: ribosomal RNA, 254 nt
Filed under: uncultured bacterium
Lineage: Bacteria
Description: partial 16S ribosomal RNA
Rfam family: Bacterial small subunit ribosomal RNA
Source: RNAcentral